This is a long non-coding RNA of Capsella rubella, 429 nucleotides long. RefSeq lists it as uncharacterized. The record is from RefSeq and is a predicted model, not a curated record. NCBI's taxonomy places the organism in Eukaryota, Viridiplantae, Streptophyta, Magnoliopsida, Brassicales, Brassicaceae. The transcript has 2 exons.
GAGAGAGAGAGAGAGAGAGAGAGAGAGAGAGAGAGAGAGAGAGAGAGAGAGAGAGAGAGAGAGACAACGGCUAGCUUACUUAUCCUAGUCAGUCAUUGUUAAUAAUAACAUGACCCAACCAAUUAGAAAAUAUUAUUGUAUUGCGAGAAAAAGAGGAGCGGGAAGAAAAGAAGAAGGUUUGGCUUCAUGUGACUGUGAAAGCAUGUGACCGAGUGAGUCUCUCUCUAUAAUGCCAUGUUUCAUCACGAGAUGUGUAACGUGCUUCCUUCCUCCAGCUCCUCAAUCAAUCUUUCUUGAUUUCUUUAGAUACUAUAAUUAAAUAUUCAGAUUACAAACAUUGAUCCUUUUUUUCCUGGGCUGGCUUACUUGUACUUACCGUGUGUGAGAGUUAUGAACUCAAAUGAUGUCAUCAACUUUUAUUUUGACCAA